Molecule: ribosomal RNA, 247 nt
Filed under: uncultured bacterium
Lineage: Bacteria
Description: partial 16S ribosomal RNA
Rfam family: Bacterial small subunit ribosomal RNA
Source: RNAcentral
AGUAACGCGUGAGUAACCUGCCUUUCAGAGGGGGAUAACGUUCUGAAAAGAACGCUAUACCGCAUGAGACUACAGAGCUGCAUGGCUCAGUGGUCAAAGGAGCAAUCCGCUGAAAGAUGGACUCGCGUCCGAUUAGAUAGUAGGCGGGGUAACGGCCCACCUAGUCGACGAUCGGUAGCCGGACUGAGAGGUUGAACGGCCACAUUGGGACUGAGACACGGCCCAGACUCCUACGGGAGGCAGCAUG